This 157-nucleotide microRNA precursor is filed under the name Pelobates cultripes (western spadefoot toad). The record is from RNAcentral. Lineage: Eukaryota; Metazoa; Chordata; Amphibia; Anura; Pelobatidae.
GCAGACACAUUCCAGCCAAUGAGCAGCAGACCCUCCCUCCCAGACCCUCCCACCUCCUGGACAGCAUCCAUUGUGAAGCUGCAUUCUUAGUGAGCUGUCCAGGAGAUGGGAGGGUCUGGGAGGGAGGGUCUGCUGCUGAUUGGCUGGAAUGUGUCUG